RNAcentral lists this ribosomal RNA (492 nucleotides) under uncultured bacterium. RNAcentral's name for it is "partial 16S ribosomal RNA". It matches the Rfam family "Bacterial small subunit ribosomal RNA", at positions 29 to 507 of the family's 1533-position model. The record is from RNAcentral.
AGUGAACGCUGGCGGUAGGCCUAACACAUGCAAGUCGAACGGCAGCACAGUAAGAGCUUGCUCUUACGGGUGGCGAGUGGCGGACGGGUGAGGAAUACAUCGGACUCUACUUUUUCGUGGGGGUUAACGUAGGGAAACUUACGCCAAUACCGCAUACGCCCUACGGGUGAAAGCAGGGGAUCUUCGGACCUUGCGCGAUUGAAUGAGCCGAUGUCGGAUUAGCUAGUUGGCGGGGUAAAGGCCAACCAAGGCGACGAUCCGUAGCUGGUCUGAGAGGAUGAUCAGCCACACUGGAAGGGGGACGCGGUCCAGAGGCCUGCGGGAGGCAGCAGUGGGGAAUAUUGGACAGUAGUCGCAAGCCUGGUCCAGCCAUACCGCGUGUGUGAAGAAGGCCUUCGGGUUGUAAAGCCCUUUUGUUGGGAAAGAAAAGCAGCAGGUUAAUACCCCGCUGUUCUGACGGUACCCGAAGAAUAAGCACCGGCUAACUACGUG